Molecule: small nucleolar RNA, 107 nt
Filed under: Solanum tuberosum (potato)
Lineage: Eukaryota; Viridiplantae; Streptophyta; Magnoliopsida; Solanales; Solanaceae
Description: Plant small nucleolar RNA R71
Rfam family: Plant small nucleolar RNA R71
About the family: R71 is a member of the C/D box family of snoRNAs containing the C (UGAUGA) and D (CUGA) box motifs. Multiple nearly identical copies of this snoRNA have been identified in Arabidopsis, and it is thought to function as a 2'-O-ribose methylation guide for 18S ribosomal RNA.
Source: Rfam by way of RNAcentral
AAACCAUGAGUCGGACAUUGGAGAACUAACUUUUGGAACCUGAACCAUGUUUCAUAGAUGGUCUCACCAUCAAUCCGCUUGAAAUUCUAAAUAUUAUCCCUCAACUU